RNAcentral lists this ribosomal RNA (428 nucleotides) under Phaeobacter gallaeciensis. RNAcentral describes it as "bacterial SSU rRNA". It matches the Rfam family "Bacterial small subunit ribosomal RNA", at positions 13 to 487 of the family's 1533-position model. The record is from RNAcentral. Lineage: Bacteria; Pseudomonadati; Pseudomonadota; Alphaproteobacteria; Rhodobacterales; Roseobacteraceae.
UUGAUCCUGGCUCAGAACGAACGCUGGCGGCAGGCCUAACACAUGCAAGUCGAGCGCACUCUUCGGAGUGAGCGGCGGACGGGUUAGUAACGCGUGGGAACGUGCCCUUCUCUAAGGAAUAGCCACUGGAAACGGUGAGUAAUACCUUAUACGCCCUUCGGGGGAAAGAUUUAUCGGAGAAGGAUCGGCCCGCGUUAGAUUAGAUAGUUGGUGGGGUAACGGCCUACCAAGUCUACGAUCUAUAGCUGGUUUUAGAGGAUGAUCAGCAACACUGGGACUGAGACACGGCCCAGACUCCUACGGGAGGCAGCAGUGGGGAAUCUUGGACAAUGGGCGCAAGCCUGAUCCAGCCAUGCCGCGUGAGUGAUGAAGGCCUUAGGGUCGUAAAGCUCUUUCGCCAGAGAUGAUAAUGACAGUAUCUGGUAAAG